GUCCCAUCUCAAGGCUUAAUUAUGUCGGCAAAGGUUGGUAUUUUUCCAAAUACGAUUAUAGUCUUAGCCUGUUCAAGCUGGUACGAUAAAACACCAUAAACCAGUUGGCUGGUAAACAACAUACAUUUAUUUCUUACAGGGUUGGAGGCUGGUAAACCGAAGAUCAAGACAUCAGCAGGUUCAGUGUCUGCUGCUUCCUGGUUCAUGGAUGACCACUGUAUCUCACAGGAAACAAGGGGCAAAGCAGCUCUGUAAUAACUGCUGUUAUGGCUUAUGUCUACAUGCCCUCCAAAGCCUCAUUCACUCAGGGUAGGCCUUUUGGGAGGUGACUGCAUCACAAGUACAUGAUACUUAUCAUCGGAUUACCCCACUGCCAUGCUAUGAGCUGUUUCUCCUCUGCCACACCCAACCCCCCUGGCAUGCCAGCUGGCUAUGAACUGAAACCUCUACAGACUAAACC
Molecule: long non-coding RNA, 460 nt
Organism: Heterocephalus glaber (naked mole-rat)
Lineage: Eukaryota; Metazoa; Chordata; Mammalia; Rodentia; Bathyergidae
Source: Ensembl